Molecule: ribosomal RNA, 269 nt
Filed under: uncultured bacterium
Lineage: Bacteria
Description: partial 23S ribosomal RNA
Rfam family: Bacterial large subunit ribosomal RNA
Source: RNAcentral
GGAGCUUUACUCCAGUUUGGUACUGGGAUCCGGUGCUGCAUGUACAGGAUAGGUGGGAGACUGAGAACACAGAACGCCAGUUGUGUGGGAGUCGCUGUUGGGAUACCACCCUUGCAGUAUUGGGUUUCUAACCAUCCGCCGUGACCCGGCGGUGGGACAAUGCCAGGCGGGGAGUUUGACUGGGGCGGUCGCCUCCGAAAGGGUAUCGGAGGCGCCCAAAGGUUCCCUCAGAAUGGACGGAAACCAGUACCAAACUGGAGUAAAGCUCC